This 190-nucleotide non-coding RNA is filed under the name Novosphingobium sp. Lineage: Bacteria; Pseudomonadati; Pseudomonadota; Alphaproteobacteria; Sphingomonadales; Sphingomonadaceae. The record is from RNAcentral.
CCACGGCCCCAAGCGACAGGUUCCCCGCGAGGGGAUCAAAAGGGAACACGGGUUCAAGACCCGGGCUGCCCCUGCAACUGUGAGCGGAUAGCCAUCGGCCCGAUGCCAUUGAGGGGGGAACCCUUUGAGAAGGCGGCCGAACCGGCAUGGACCCGCGAGCCAGGAGACCUGCCUGACGCCGUCGUUUUUC